AUGUCCCAGCAUCAGAGCUGGGUUUCUGUGAUUUUACAAUAUGAUUUUGGAUUUAAAGUUUCUCAGUUCUGCCUGAACUCUGCUGGAGAUGCCAGAGCUCUUUCCCAGAUGGAAUUCCUGCUGUGCUUUUCACAAAAACCUACUGACAGGAUGCCAUACUUGAAUGCAAUCAUUGUAAACACCGGUACCACACAGGUACUUCUGGGCUCCGAACAAGCUUUUGUGCCUUGGAAAUUCACCAGUUCUCUGAAAAAAAAUCCCUUGUUGCUAUGGAAAUACCAUCCCUUCACGAUGAAUCCUUCUUGAAGGUGGAGGACAUUGGCAAGACUAAACCUGCCUGCUCGUCUUGCUCUAUUCUUCUGAGACUCGUUUUUACAACCUUCGCAGGAUGUGAAUUCAUUCAGCGUGGUGGCCUCCUGCAGGGAGUGCUCUGCUCACACCAUCUUGUACCAACAGGCAGCCUGAGGAGAGCCCUCUGUGCCAGGGCCUGGCUGCAGGACACCUGGCAGCACUCACAGCAGCCCUGUGCUUCCUGCAACUUGUAUGUUUAAAUAUUUCUAAUGAUGGGGGAAACAAAUUGUUACAGCUACAAAUCACCUGCCAGAGUGACCAGAUUUGCAUCACAAACCUUUGCACAAUCAGUACUUGACAAAAGCCAGGUUGUCCCUCAGUAACUUAAUUUUUUUUUGAGAGUUUAGGAAGGGCUGUGGUAGGAAAAUGUGGUUCAAAGCAGCAUUCAAUGUGCUGAAUACUUUUUAUUCCAAGUGCAAAUCUGUGACUGUACCUGUUAAGAUUGUAUUAGAAUGAUUAAACCAAUUAAAACAGAUUUAUUGCCAUUCUAAGAUUCCCUUUUGAGAUGGAAAUAGUCCUGCUUUUAAAACAUGAAUUCAUUGUUCUAUAAAGGUUUCACACAUUUUAAAAGUGUUAUCAAAAACUGUAGGAUUGCCUUCUGAAGAAAUUUUUUAAUCUUUCACUGCCUGUCUUAAGUGGCUGAAACAAGACAGUAGAGAAAACAUUUUAGGGAAGGCUGAGAAAAGAAUGGAGCUACAGCCAGUUUCUGACAUGGGACCAGAAUCUGACACCAGA
This 1086-nucleotide long non-coding RNA is filed under the name Corvus moneduloides (New Caledonian crow). RNAcentral describes it as "lncRNA (ENSCMUG00000018288.1)". Lineage: Eukaryota; Metazoa; Chordata; Aves; Passeriformes; Corvidae. The record is from RNAcentral.